GGUUGGUCCCAGUGCAGUGGUGUUUACAACUAAUUAAUCACAACCAGUUACAGAUUCCUUUGUUCCUUUUCCACUCCCACUGCUCCACUUGACCAGCCUUAA
Microcebus murinus (gray mouse lemur) is the source of this 102-nucleotide unclassified non-coding RNA. It matches the Rfam family "Y RNA". Rfam says of the family: Y RNAs are components of the Ro ribonucleoprotein particle (Ro RNP), in association with Ro60 and La proteins. The Y RNAs and Ro60 and La proteins are well conserved, but the function of the Ro RNP is not known. In humans the RNA component can be one of four small RNAs -- hY1, hY3, hY4 and hY5. The record is from Ensembl. Lineage: Eukaryota; Metazoa; Chordata; Mammalia; Primates; Cheirogaleidae.